RNAcentral lists this ribosomal RNA (400 nucleotides) under uncultured bacterium. RNAcentral describes it as "bacterial SSU rRNA". It matches the Rfam family "Bacterial small subunit ribosomal RNA", at positions 109 to 507 of the family's 1533-position model. The record is from RNAcentral.
AGUAACACGUGAGUAAUCUGCCCUUGGCUUUGGGAUAAGCCCCGGAAACGGGGUCUAAUACCGGAUACGACGCGCUCUCGCAUGGGAUGUGUGUGGGAAAAGUUUUUUUCGGGCCAGGGGAUGUGCUCGCGGCCUAUCAGCUUGUUGGUGGGGUAAUGGCCUACCAAGGGCUUCGACGGGUAGCCGGCCUGAGAGGGUGACCGGCCACACUGGGACUGAGACACGGCCCAGACUCCUACGGGAGGCAGCAGUGGGGAAUAUUGGACAAUGGGCGGAAGCCUGAUCCAGCAACGCCGCGUGAGGGAUGACGGCCUUCGGGUUGUAAACCUCUUUCGGUACCGACGAAGCGCCGAUGAUGGUGGUGACGGUAGGUACAGAAGAAGCACCGGCCAACUACGUG